This 449-nucleotide ribosomal RNA is filed under the name uncultured Desulfobacterium sp. Its description in RNAcentral is "bacterial SSU rRNA". It matches the Rfam family "Bacterial small subunit ribosomal RNA", at positions 73 to 494 of the family's 1533-position model. Lineage: Bacteria; Pseudomonadati; Thermodesulfobacteriota; Desulfobacteria; Desulfobacterales; Desulfobacteriaceae. The record is from RNAcentral.
UGAGUGCUUGCAUUCCCGAGUAGAGUGGCGCACGGUUGAGUAACACGUGGAUAAUCUACCUUUGAAUCCGGGAUAACUGUUCGAAAGAAUCGCUAAUACCGAAUGAAGUCAAUGUUUCCUAGGAGAUAUUGAUGAAAGACAGCCUCUUCUUGAAAGCUGCUGUUUGAAGAUGAGUCCGCGCACCAUUAGCUUGUUGGUGGGGUAAAGGCCUACCAAGGCUCUGAUGGUUAGCUGGUCUGAGAGGAUGAUCAGCCACACUGGAACUGACACACGGUCCAGACUCCUACGGGAGGCAGCAGUGAGGAAUUUUGCGCAAUGGGGGCAACCCUGACGCAGCAACGCCGCGUGAGUGAAGAAGGCCCUUGGGUCGUAAAACUCUGUCAAUGGGGGAAGAAGUUAUUAUACUUUUAAUAGAGUAUAGUAUUGACGGUACCCAUGAAGGAAGCACG